CCUGUGCCGGUGCUCUGUUACCUGCACAGCACAGUCCCUGGUGUUCAGAGGGAACCUCCUGCGUUCCUGUUUGUGCCCAGUGCCUCCUGUCCUGGUAUCAAGCACUACUGACAAGAGCCUGGUUCCAUCUCUGCACGCUCCCUUCAGGUGUUUAUGAACACUGAUGAGAUCCCCUGAGCCUCCUUUUCUCCAGGCUGAGCAACCAGCUCUCUCAGCCUCUCCUCACACGAGAGAGAGGUGCUCCUGUCCUUUGUCAUCUUGGCCCUGAGUUGGACUCUCCCCGCUACAUCCAAGUCUCUCAGGCUGAAAGGGCCUAGAAUUGGACCCAGCUCUCCAGUGGCAGCCUCACAGCAGAGGGGAAGGGUGAUUUCCCUUGACGUCCUGCUGAUGCUUUGCUCGUGCAGCGCCGGUCAUCGUCAUCCUCCUGUGCAGCAGGGGCACCUGACUGGCUCUCUUUCAUAUCAUUUAUCAGACACAAGUAGGAAAGGAAACGUACCAGGCUUAUAAUUUCUCAAGGAAGAUUGGACCACAGGCUUACUUAACCUUCCUUUUUCCUUGUGUUUGACACCUACUAUGAUUUUAAAGCAAGGAUUUUGGUAUGUUUGUUUCUGCAUCUUGUCACUUCAGGUUCUUCAGCACAGGCAGGAACUCAACGCUUUUGGCUCCUGGGAUCUGAUUUUGUAACAGUUUCCUCCUUUGGCCACUUUCCAGAAAAUCACCUAGGAAACCCAAGUACCAGUUUCCAUGGUCACUUAGGAGAGAACAUGUUUCCUACUAUUGCAUAGUGUAUCGGUACCAGGAAACACACAAGCUUUUUGCCUGACCCAGGUGCAUAAAAAUUCAUGAGCAAGAAAGCAUUCACCUGUUGUUUGAUGUGAAAAGCACACUGGACCACAAAAGCAGUGAUAGCAGGUUAAACUGUUCCUGACUGCCACUGGGGGAUCAAAGGAUAAUCAUCUGGAUGGGGAGCCAGGUGAAUUCCUCUGAGAGGCAAAGAAAUGUUCCAGUGUGGUGUGCGAAGACCUGAAGUUCCUUCUCUUUAUUAUUGUAUGCACUGCAACUGAAGCAUCUUCUUAUCAGAUAUUGUAUUCAGUCUAGGAGGAAUAUAGCACAUCCUUCAAGUUUUUUCUUAGCUUGACCGUUUCCCUUCCAUCUCAAAACGAUUUUUCUACUGUAAAGUGCCAUACUCACAGAGUUCCUUACGGAAACAAGGUAACUAACCAUAGAGUCCAAGAUACUGAUGAACAUCACAAAAUGUACAUCACAAAAUGAUCGAGGACAUAUUGUGAUCCUGCAGAGUAUCAGAAAAUCUGUUUCAGAUUUUGCAGCAAUUUUCCAGAUCUGCUAUUUGAAGCCAAUGGGACUGCUUAGUGAACAGCAGCUCUACUCAUUGCAAUUGGAAAUGAAUGCCUCAAAGUAAGAAAUCUUCUUCCCCAUUCACAGGCAUAACCAGUCAUAAGUGAAUCUUUUACACCAAAUCAGUACAGCUCCUGCUUCCUCAUUUUUACUCUUCUUAACCUUCCAUUCUGAAGCAAAAUUGUUAGAGGAACAAUAGAUCCAAAGUCAAAUACCACAAGAACAUUUUCUAAUAAAUUUGAUGUUUUGGCAGUGGGAUGUGAGUAGAGCCAGGCCACUGCCAAAGCACAGAAGGCUAUGAACAGAUCUGAGCUAUCUUUCACAUUUUCCUGAAGCAUACAGAAACUAAGUUGUACAAUUCUGUGGCCAUUUCAAAAGCAAUUUAAAUCAUAGCUCUCAGGCAAUAGCAUUCAGAUUGUUUGGGGCAUGUUCCAUUCAUGCUGGAUAGCCCAUUAAACCAUGCUAAGUCUUACAGCACAGCAUCC
Long non-coding RNA from Gallus gallus (chicken), 1841 nucleotides. The record is from Ensembl. Lineage: Eukaryota; Metazoa; Chordata; Aves; Galliformes; Phasianidae.